AGCCCGGUGGUGUAGUGGUCAAUCAUACAGGCUUUUGGAGCCUGUUACGGCGGUUCGAAUCCGCCCCGGGCUA
Molecule: transfer RNA, 73 nt
Filed under: Thermoplasmatota archaeon
Lineage: Archaea; Methanobacteriati; Thermoplasmatota
Description: tRNA-Gln
Rfam family: tRNA
About the family: Transfer RNA (tRNA) molecules are approximately 80 nucleotides in length. Their secondary structure includes four short double-helical elements and three loops (D, anti-codon, and T loops).
Source: RNAcentral